This 271-nucleotide ribosomal RNA is filed under the name uncultured bacterium. Its description in RNAcentral is "partial 16S ribosomal RNA". It matches the Rfam family "Bacterial small subunit ribosomal RNA", at positions 524 to 794 of the family's 1533-position model. The record is from RNAcentral.
UACGUAGGGUGCGAGCGUUAAUCGGAAUUACUGGGCGUAAAGCGUGCGCAGGCGGCUUUGCAAGACAGAUGUGAAAUCCCCGGGCUCAACCUGGGAACUGCAUUUGUGACUGCAAGGCUAGAGUACGGCAGAGGGGGAUGGAAUUCCGCGUGUAGCAGUGAAAUGCGUAGAUAUGCGGAGGAACACCAGUGGCGAAGGCGGCUUUCUGGGUCCGCCCUGACGCUGAGGCGCGAAAGCGUGGGGAGCGAACGGGAUUAGAAACCCUGGUAGU